This 253-nucleotide ribosomal RNA is filed under the name uncultured bacterium. RNAcentral's name for it is "partial 16S ribosomal RNA". It matches the Rfam family "Bacterial small subunit ribosomal RNA", at positions 524 to 776 of the family's 1533-position model. The record is from RNAcentral.
UACGUAGGGUGCAAGCGUUGUCCGGAAUUAUUGGGCGUAAAGAGCUCGUAGGCGGUCUGUCGCGUCGGAUGUGAAAACCCAGGGCUCAACCCUGGGCCUGCAUUCGAUACGGGCAGACUAGAGUUCGGUAGGGGAGACUGGAAUUCCCGGUGUAGCGGUGAAAUGCGCAGAUAUCAGGAGGAACACCGGUGGCGAAGGCGGGUCUCUGGGCCGAAACUGACGCUGAGGAGCGAAAGCGUGGGGAGCAAACAGG